CAGCCGCCGCGGCAAUACGUAGGUGGCAAGCGUUGUCCGGAAUUAUUGGGCGUAAAGGGCUCGCAGGCGGUUUCUUAAGUCUGAUGUGAAAGCCCCCGGCUCAACCGAGGAGGGUCAUUGGAAACUGGGAAACUUGAGUGCAGAAGAGGAGAGUGGAAUUCCACGUGUAGCGGUGAAAUGCGUAGAGAUGUGGAGGAACACCAGUGGCGAAGGCGACUCUCUGGUCUGUAACUGACGCUGAGGAGCGAAAGCGUGGGGAGCGAACAGGAUUAGAUACCCCUGUAGUCCCUGUCUCUUAUAC
This 301-nucleotide ribosomal RNA is filed under the name uncultured bacterium. RNAcentral's name for it is "partial 16S ribosomal RNA". It matches the Rfam family "Bacterial small subunit ribosomal RNA", at positions 509 to 807 of the family's 1533-position model. The record is from RNAcentral.